AUGGUUGUUAUUAGCAGAAAUGUUAUCUUUAAUGAAUCUGCUAUGUUACAUGAUGUUUCAUCUACUAAUGUUCCCGUUGAGAGUGAACAACAGCCUAUUGUUCAGGAGCCUACUGUUCAGGUGGAGCAUGUUAUUGAUUCUGGUGAUACAUCUGGUAAUGAAAUUGUUGAUGCACAUGAUGAACCCGUCGUUAAUGAUGAUAAUGUCACUCCCACUCUAAAUCAGCCUAUUGUUCCGCCCAGUUGGAAUCUCGCACGUGACAGAGUUAGACGGGGUAUUAAUAAACCUGACAGGUUAAUUGAAGAGUGCAAUAUUGUUUCUUUUGCUUUAUCUGUUGCAGAAGAAAUUGAAGGUAAUGUUGAGACUUCUUCAUAUUCCGAGGCUAUUAUUUCUAGUGAUAGUAUUAAGUGGAUGACUGCUAUGCAUGAUGAGAUGAAAUCACUUGAAAAGAAUGGCACUUGGGAUUUAGUAAGAUUACCUAGAGAGAAGAAACCUAUUCGUUGCAAGUGGGUUUUCAAGAGGAAAGAAGGUGUUUCUCCUAAUGAUGAGACAAGAUAUAAAGCAAGGUUAGUUGCUAAAGGUUACAGUCAAAUUUCAGGUAUUGACUAUAACGAAGUCUUUUCUCCUGUGUGA
Molecule: ribosomal RNA, 633 nt
Filed under: Triticum aestivum (bread wheat)
Lineage: Eukaryota; Viridiplantae; Streptophyta; Magnoliopsida; Poales; Poaceae
Description: partial small subunit ribosomal RNA
Source: RNAcentral